AAGCAAGAUCACAAGCAAGAAAUUGUGCCAUCUACAGCUCUUCAACUUGCUGAGCAGCAAGAAGAAAUUAUCGAAAUAAUUUAUGUUCAGGACUCCAAUGAUGGCAGGGACCAGAACCAAAGUUUGGUUAGCUCACCAGAUGCUCACACUAAACUUGAUUCGGAAAUUGGAAAGAGCACACCUAAUACUGUAAGAACUUGAUCAAUAAACAAAUUAUAAGGAUACCAUUCACCAUUCCAAAGAUCAAAUGACAUGGCGCCACCCAAUGGCCUAAAAUGCACAAUACUGCAAGAGGACAGGACAAAGCCUAGUAAAAUGUAC
RNAcentral lists this long non-coding RNA (321 nucleotides) under Manihot esculenta (cassava). RNAcentral describes it as "long non-coding RNA (MESC_LNC001990)". Lineage: Eukaryota; Viridiplantae; Streptophyta; Magnoliopsida; Malpighiales; Euphorbiaceae. The record is from RNAcentral.